GAUGAACGCUGGCGGCGUGCCUAAUACAUGCAAGUCGAGCGAACGGACGAGAAGCUUGCUUCUCUGAUGUUAGCGGCGGACGGGUGAGUAACACGUGGAUAACCUACCUAUAAGACUGGGAUAACUUCGGGAAACCGUAGCUAAUACCGGAUAAUAUUUUGAACCGCAUGGUUCAAAAGUGAAAGACGGUCUUGCUUUCACUUAUAGAUGGAUCCGCGCUGCAUUAGCUAGUUGGUAAGGUAACGGCUUACCAAGGCAACGAUGCAUAGCCGACCUGAGAGGGUGAUCGGCCACACUGGAACUGAGACACGGUCCAGACUCCUACGGGAGGCAGCAGUAGGGAAUCUUCCGCAAUGGGCGAAAGCCUGACGGAGCAACGCCGCGUGAGUGAUGAAGGUCUUCGGAUCGUAAAACUCUGUUAUUAGUGAAGAACAUAUGUGUAAGUAACUGUGCACAUCUUGACGGUACCUAAUCAGAAAGCCACGGCUAACUACGUG
This 497-nucleotide ribosomal RNA is filed under the name uncultured bacterium. Its description in RNAcentral is "partial 16S ribosomal RNA". It matches the Rfam family "Bacterial small subunit ribosomal RNA", at positions 28 to 507 of the family's 1533-position model. The record is from RNAcentral.